UGGGACGUGGACAAGUGGUAAGUCACCUGGUUUUGGUCCAGGCAUUCGAGGGUUCGAAUCCUUCCGUCCCAG
This 72-nucleotide transfer RNA is filed under the name Borrelia hermsii. Its description in RNAcentral is "tRNA-Gln". It matches the Rfam family "tRNA". From Rfam's summary of the family: Transfer RNA (tRNA) molecules are approximately 80 nucleotides in length. Their secondary structure includes four short double-helical elements and three loops (D, anti-codon, and T loops). The record is from RNAcentral. RNAcentral also lists the same sequence under 23 other names. Lineage: Bacteria; Pseudomonadati; Spirochaetota; Spirochaetia; Spirochaetales; Borreliaceae.